CUCGCCCCGCCGCCGGCACAAUGCUCUGGGCAGUGGGGCUGUGAGCUCCUGGGGCAGCGCAGCUGCAAAGCCCGGCCUGAGCCGGUGCUCUGAGCUGUGUGGUUGCGGCGGCAGUGUGGCCCGGCUCCAGCUGGGCAGUGCGGCUGGAGCGCCGCCAGCCACCGGUGCUCCAGGCAGCGUGCAGUUAGCUCACCUGGUCCCGGACUGGGACUUCUCGGUGCUACACUAACGACAAUACAAGAGUAUGACUCUUUUCCCCACAGCUGUGAACGCUGGCAUGGCAUAGAGGAACAAAGAUUUUCUGUUGGACUAAACACACAUUUAUUGGCCUGGAGACGAUGUCAUAGCUUAAGUUCUGUUUGCGAAGAUCCCC
Trachemys scripta elegans is the source of this 373-nucleotide long non-coding RNA. RefSeq lists it as uncharacterized. The record is from RefSeq and is a predicted model, not a curated record. The transcript is spliced from 3 exons. Lineage: Eukaryota; Metazoa; Chordata; Testudines; Emydidae.